RNAcentral lists this ribosomal RNA (253 nucleotides) under uncultured bacterium. Its description in RNAcentral is "partial 16S ribosomal RNA". It matches the Rfam family "Bacterial small subunit ribosomal RNA", at positions 524 to 776 of the family's 1533-position model. The record is from RNAcentral.
UACUGAGGGAGCUAGCGUUGUUCGGAAUUACUGGGCGUAAAGCGCACGUAGGCGGCUUUGUAAGUUAGAGGUGAAAGCCCGGGGCUCAACUCCGGAACUGCCUUUAAGACUGCAUCGCUUGAAUCCAGGAGAGGUGAGUGGAAUUCCGAGUGUAGAGGUGAAAUUCGUAGAUAUUCGGAAGAACACCAGUGGCGAAGGCGGCUCACUGGACUGGUAUUGACGCUGAGGUGCGAAAGCGUGGGGAGCAAACAGG